ACUAAAAGAGAAUAGAUUCAACAUAGUAGAAGUAUCUUUAGAAAAAUGAAAUAUAUGUAUAUAUUUUUAACCGGUGAAGUCGUGGGCUGAGGCCAAGCGGAAGAAAGCAACAGCUACAGCCUACAGCGCGUCUUCAAAGGGAAGAAAGUAGCAGCACUGCACCAGUUGGCGCGCGCCAAAGGGCAAAGGCCACUGCGCUGGAGUAGUGUACUGUUCAGUGUGGGCGUGGCGCCGAAAGAUCUGCCCGUCCGUCCGUCUGCCGCCACGUGGGUGGGGUUAGUUGGCCUCGAAGGACGGUCGCGACGUCACCCCGUGGGCCCUGAAGAUUCCCGUGCUGCCAGCGUGUCCGACAGUCGCUGUCACGGGCCGGAUCCGGAAUCUCGAUAUUUCUGCAUUUCCGCUGCGGACGGCGGCCCCGCUUGUCAGAAACCGGAACUUCUCUCGUGCCAAGUGAUAAAUUAUAAUUAAAGCAUACGUGAUUUGUUAUUAAUGUACUGACUUCGUCUCAAAAUAAAAUAUAUUUUACCUUUUUACUUUAUUCAUACAAAAAUAAUAUAUUUAUUAUAUAUAUCUAAAUUUAUUAUCAUUCAUUUAAAUAUAGACAUAAAAAACAAGAGAUAAAGCGAUUAAUAUUUUAGGAUAAAGAGAGUAAAACAUUAUCACUUAUAUACAUUGUCAAAUAUAAAGAAAUUAAGUAUACAUCAAAAUUGAUAUAUUUAGUGAUCUUUUAACAAAUUAAUUAAUUAUUUCUAUCUUUGAGAAUUACAUGAAGACAUGGUCACAUGCAAGUUUAAUGGAUCCCCGCAGAAAACAAAGAUGGAGCAUACACCCACGUUUAUCGGUUGAGAAUUUUUUUCACCAUUUAUAUCCCAUGGAAAAGAAACUUCUCUGUUUUUAGACUAUUUUCGACAGCUUACAUAUCCGCGUACCUAUAUUUAAACUCCACUUUAAACAUACCUAUAUUUAAACUCUAUUUUAAACAGUGCAGUCUUCAGUACGAAACAGUAGUUUAAGAGAAGAAGAUUGUAGGAUUUAUAUUUUUCCAUUUAAAAUUAAAUAACUAGAGGACUUUAGUUAAUUCUAUUCCUUUUAAUCUUCUUACUUUAAAAUAAGCUCUAAUGAAAAAAUUCUCCAUAAAAAAUCACGGAUCGAAGACGCGAGACGGCUCGCGAGCCGGACCCGUCAGGCCGUCACUGCACCACAUGACAAACCCGGACCGAACACGGACGCCUCCCAGCAAGUGGUGACCCGUUUCUCCAUUCUCGCCGUCCGAUUAUAAAUGCGUCCGCAAAUGCCGCCAGUCCGCUCUCUCUCGCUGCGCCUCCGCCCCCAAAUCUGCGCAAAGGCCUCCCACUCAAAUUCCUCGCGGCGACCGAUAUGGUUGGGAGCGUGGGCAACGGGCUGGCCGAUCUGGGUGCAAGAGCCGUCUCCAUGAACGGGGCGGGGAAGGCGCUGCGUCCUGCCGAAGCGGCGGCGGCGGCCGCCGCCGCGGAGACGCUCCCGAUGGAGCUGGAUCCGUCGGAGGCCUUAGUGGCCGCUGCGGUGGAGGCGAAGGGCGAGAAGGCUGCCAACGGGAGGAGGGAGAUCGUGAUGGGGAGGAACGUACACACCUCCUGCUUCGC
Molecule: long non-coding RNA, 1622 nt
Filed under: Zea mays
Lineage: Eukaryota; Viridiplantae; Streptophyta; Magnoliopsida; Poales; Poaceae
Description: long non-coding RNA (ZMAY_LNC003367)
Source: RNAcentral